CAGUAGCCACGGUAAUACGUAGGUGGCAAGCGUUGUCCGGAAUUAUUGGGCGUAAAGCGCGCGCAGGCGGAUAGGUCAGUCUGUCUUAAAAGUUCGGGGCUUAACCCCGUGAUGAGAUGGAAACUGCCAAUCUAGAGUAUCGGAGAGGAAAGUGGAAUUCCUAGUGUAGCGGUGAAAUGCGUAGAUAUUAGGAAGAACACCAGUGGCGAAGGCGACUUUCUGGACGAAAACUGACGCUGAGGCGUGAAAGCCAGGGGAGCGAACGGGAUUAGAUACCCGCGUAGUCCCUGUCUCUUAUACA
RNAcentral lists this ribosomal RNA (301 nucleotides) under uncultured bacterium. RNAcentral's name for it is "partial 16S ribosomal RNA". It matches the Rfam family "Bacterial small subunit ribosomal RNA", at positions 509 to 809 of the family's 1533-position model. The record is from RNAcentral.